Molecule: long non-coding RNA, 523 nt
Filed under: Cricetulus griseus (Chinese hamster)
Lineage: Eukaryota; Metazoa; Chordata; Mammalia; Rodentia; Cricetidae
Description: lncRNA (ENSCGRG00015030472.1)
Source: RNAcentral
CUGCCCCUCAGGAAGCUAACACUGUGAGAAGGAUAUGCCGCCCAGGGCACAUCCCUAAGGCGCUGUCUGUGGACUGGGCCAGAGCUACUUCCGGACCAGCAUCCAGGUCCACUUCACGACCAGGUGGUGUUGAGACUCUCAUCUGGACCUUGAUUCAGACAGCAGAUCUGGCCAGCAAGCCCCAGGGGUCCUCUUGCUUCUGUCUCCUCGGCGCUGGGAUUACAGUGUGCUCUGCCACUAAACUACAUCCUAGCCUUGAGGUGUUUGCUCCAGCUGCAAGAUGGGAAACCUCAAGGCACUUACUGGACAAGGACCGAGAUGGCCACCUCCCCAAACACACUUUCUGCAGACAGCCCUGGUGGCUAACAGUUACCAAGCCAGCAAAGGAAACCCUCAAAAAGAAGUCAUGUUGUACUAGAAUAAGUAAGCCUUCAAGUCUCCUUUGUCCAGAGGCAACCCAGUGGCUCACUGACGAAGCAUGGCCGUAGUCCACAUAGCCCACAAGUGCAGAAUACUUCACCCA